UACAAAUAAACUAAAACUGGAACAAUACAGAGAAGAUUAGCACGGCCCAUGUGCAAGGAUGAGAUGCAAAUUCUUGAAACAGUACUUAUUUUC
This 93-nucleotide small nuclear RNA is filed under the name Chinchilla lanigera (long-tailed chinchilla). Lineage: Eukaryota; Metazoa; Chordata; Mammalia; Rodentia; Chinchillidae. The record is from RNAcentral.